GACGAACGCUGGCGGCGUGCUUAACACAUGCAAGUCGAACGGAAAGGCCCUGCUUUUGUGGGGUGCUCGAGUGGCGAACGGGUGAGUAACACGUGAGUAACCUGCCCUUGACUUUGGGAUAACUUCAGGAAACUGGGGCUAAUACCGGAUAGGAGCUCCUGCUGCAUGGUGGGGGGUGGAAAGUUUCGGCGGUUGGGGAUGGACUCGCGGCUUAUCAGCUUGUUGGUGGGGUAGUGGCUUACCAAGGCUUUGACGGGUAGCCGGCCUGAGAGGGUGACCGGCCACAUUGGGACUGAGCUACGGCCCAGACUGCUACGGUAGGCAGCAGUGGGGAAUAUUGCACAAUGGGCGGAGGCCUGAUGCAGCAACGCCGCGUGCGGGAUGACGGCCUUCGGGUUGUAAACCGCUUUCGCCUGUGACGAAGCGUGAGUGACGGUAAUGGGUAAAGAAGCACCGGCUAACUACGUG
This 468-nucleotide ribosomal RNA is filed under the name uncultured bacterium. RNAcentral's name for it is "partial 16S ribosomal RNA". It matches the Rfam family "Bacterial small subunit ribosomal RNA", at positions 28 to 507 of the family's 1533-position model. The record is from RNAcentral.